GAGGAUAUAGCUCAAUGGUACAGUUCCAGCUUAGCAUGCAUGAGGUCCUGGGUUCCAUCCCCAGUAUCACCA
RNAcentral lists this transfer RNA (72 nucleotides) under Camelus bactrianus (Bactrian camel). It matches the Rfam family "tRNA". From Rfam's summary of the family: Transfer RNA (tRNA) molecules are approximately 80 nucleotides in length. Their secondary structure includes four short double-helical elements and three loops (D, anti-codon, and T loops). Lineage: Eukaryota; Metazoa; Chordata; Mammalia; Artiodactyla; Camelidae. The record is from Rfam by way of RNAcentral. RNAcentral also lists the same sequence under 1 other name.